RNAcentral lists this ribosomal RNA (382 nucleotides) under uncultured bacterium. Its description in RNAcentral is "bacterial SSU rRNA". It matches the Rfam family "Bacterial small subunit ribosomal RNA", at positions 29 to 399 of the family's 1533-position model. The record is from RNAcentral.
AAUCAACGCUGGCGGCGUGCCUAACACAUGCAGGUCGAACGCGAAAACCCCGAAAGGGGUGAGUAGAGUGGCAAACGGGUGAGUAACACGUGGGUGACCUGCCUUAGAGUGGGGGAUAACGUCCCGAAAGGGACGCUAAUACCGCAUAACAUCCUGCCUUUGAAGAGGUGGCGAUCAAAGCUGGGGACCGCAAGGCCUAGCGCUCAAAGAGGGGCCCGCGCCUGAUUAGCUAGUUGGUGGGGUAAGGCUCACCAAGGCAACGAUCAGUAUCCGGCCUGAGAGGGCGGACGGACACACUGGGACUGAGACACGGCCAGACUCCUACGGGAGGCAGCAGUGGGGAAUUGUUCGCAAUGGGCGCAAGCCUGACGACGCAACGCCG